Long non-coding RNA from Dendroctonus ponderosae (mountain pine beetle), 883 nucleotides. RefSeq lists it as uncharacterized. The transcript is spliced from 5 exons. Lineage: Eukaryota; Metazoa; Arthropoda; Insecta; Coleoptera; Curculionidae. The record is from RefSeq and is a predicted model, not a curated record.
UUUCGAUCGGAAACAUCAGCUCGACAAUCGCAACUUUCAGUACUGCCUUAAAUUGAAAUUUAGUGAUUUGAUUUAUAGUUUGUAUUUGCUACUGGGCAUCAGAAAAGGACAUCAAUGGAAUCAAAACAGGAGAACUAAAUCAAUGGAUCAAAGCCGGACUCAUUUUUCAGAUUUGACACUAAAUUGUCUAAUGUAGAAUAGCUUUUUAAUUUUAUUUAAAGCACACUUACCAUUCAUCACACGGAAAAUUAGAACAAUUAUAAGAUGAGUAGAUGAGAGGCCAUAAGAGAAACAGACGGAAAAUUAAGAUAUCAAUACGAAGCACCACGUGCUUCUCACCUGGCCUUAUUUUACAUACAGUGCGAAAAAGAAAGACAAUGGACCAUCAAUAAGAAAUUCAAAUACAAGAGCCUGACAAAAACAAAAAAGAUGGUUGAGACACUGCAAACGUUAAAAACCACCUGCUUUUAGCUAUAACGUCGAAACAUGGAUUUACAUAAAACAGUACCUUUAUGAAGACGUAUCAAUGGCCGUUGUACAAAAGAAGUUGUAUUCUCCAAUCAUGGAAUGAAGCGAAAAUCAAAACAGUUUAGAGUAAGAAAACCAAAAAUACAGCACAUAUUAGAAUGAAUGAAUUCCUAACAUCAACUAUGUUGCUUGUAAAUUUAAAAAAUAAUCGUUAAUAUGCCCCUUAAACAAUGAAUACGAGAAAGAUUCAGCGAAUAUCAUUGCCAACUAUAACCAAAGCGAGCUAUCAAAAAUGGGCACUUUUUUCCAAUUAGAAAAGUGAAUAAAUUGCUACGCAUUUCAUGAUAUCAAACACAUCACUUUCGCUGUAUAAUUUAAAAAAUUCUAAACACAAAAAAAGUUCAAAAUCGGCAAA